GCGCCGGGAGAAAAUCAAAGAGGCGGCCUUCUGUUACUUCGCCUCGCUUGAACUCCAUGACAUCCAGCAGCACAUGUCUCUGCUGGAUGGGAACACGGCAUGCGACCUGGUCACCAAGGAAGAGAUGGUGGCGUCGUUCGUGUACAAGAUGGACAGGCUGUGGCUGCAGGCGGGCGAGCUGAGAGUGGAGAUCCACGGAGGCCACGCCUUGUGGGUGAUAGGCCAGGGGGACGAGACUGUCAAGGUGAAGCUGCGGAGGAACCACAAGAUGAAGGUGAGUGAGGCCACGGCUUCCAUGAGCACCGACGGGGUGCUCACCAUCGUGAUUCCCAAGAAGCAUCUGUCCCGGAAGUGGUACGAGUACAUGGACUUGGCAUUACUUGGAUUCCAGACGGUUCACGUUUCAGUUUCUUCGUCUUAACAAAGUGUCGCAACAUUGGAAGUGCUCGAGCUGUCCCUCAGUAGGUUGCGUGGUAUCCAUACUUGUUUUUACCCAAAAUCAGCA
RNAcentral lists this long non-coding RNA (505 nucleotides) under Eucalyptus grandis. RNAcentral's name for it is "long non-coding RNA (EGRA_LNC000452)". The record is from RNAcentral. Lineage: Eukaryota; Viridiplantae; Streptophyta; Magnoliopsida; Myrtales; Myrtaceae.